Molecule: small nuclear RNA, 266 nt
Filed under: Erinaceus europaeus (western European hedgehog)
Lineage: Eukaryota; Metazoa; Chordata; Mammalia; Eulipotyphla; Erinaceidae
Description: 7SK RNA (ENSEEUG00000022115.1)
Rfam family: 7SK RNA
About the family: 7SK was discovered as an abundant small nuclear RNA in the mid-70s but a possible function has only recently been suggested.
Source: RNAcentral
GGAUGUGAAGGACUGAAGGACACCUACCCCAUUGAUCGCCAGGGUUGAUUCGGCUGAUCUGGCUGGCUAGGUGGGUGUCCCCUUCCUCCCUCCCAAAGCUGUGCACUCAGUUGAAGAGAACGGCCUCCCCUGAAUAGAGACAGGACCAGUCUGAGUAGCUACGCUCCCCUGUUAGAACCUGCAAACAAGCUCUCAAGGUCCAAAUGCUAUACUACCGGUUCCUGAGGGUAAUUUAUUUUAUUAUAAUCCCUGUUGCAAACAAACAG